UGUGCUCCUGAGGGCUCUCCUGCA
Molecule: unclassified non-coding RNA, 24 nt
Filed under: Mus musculus (house mouse)
Lineage: Eukaryota; Metazoa; Chordata; Mammalia; Rodentia; Muridae
Description: oocyte_clustered_small_RNA6980
Source: RNAcentral